Cyprinodon tularosa is the source of this 629-nucleotide non-coding RNA. Lineage: Eukaryota; Metazoa; Chordata; Actinopteri; Cyprinodontiformes; Cyprinodontidae. The record is from the annotation of a RefSeq genome assembly.
GAUGUUCAUAGAGGAGAGGAGUUUGAUUCUCUGGACUUUACCUGUGAAGCAGCAGCAGAGGAGAGUCCAGAUGAGGACGCAGAUCAAAGUCAUGUUUUUGAUGAGGAGGAUUUCUUUGUCUUCUGUUGUCAUGAAGGACAGCUGUCAGUCUUCCAGUGUUCAACUCUCAGGACUAUAAACUCUCCCAGAGCGCUGGAGCAUGGAGCUGCUGAUGCAAAGUGGCUCUAUGGAAAUACUGAUGAGUCCUAUAUGGAUUCAGGAUCUAAUGGAUGAUACUAUUUAUCAGUGAUGCUCGUCCCACCCUGACAGUGCUGCCCCCCUCCAGUGAGGAGCUGCAGCAGGGGAAGGCCACCCUCAUGUGUCUGGCCAACAAGGGCUUCCCCUCAGACUGGAGUCUGUCCUGGAAGGUGGACGGCAGCAGCAGCAGCAGCUGGGAGGAGAACAAGAGCCGAGGAGUGCUGCAGAAGGACGGCCUCUACAGCUGGAGCAGCACCCUGAGGCUCCCUGCAGACCAGUGGAGGAAGGUGGGCUCUGUGACCUGUGAGGCCACCCAGAGCUCCCAGUCUGCAGUCACAGAGACACUGAGGAGAGACCAGUGUUCCCAGUGAUAACCUGACUUGUUCUUUUUU